GGUUAAGCGACUAAGCGUACACGGUGGAUGCCCUGGCAGUCAGAGGCGAUGAAGGACGUGCUAAUCUGCGAUAAGCGUCGGUAAGGUGAUAUGAACCGUUAUAACCGGCGAUUUCCGAAUGGGGAAACCCAGUGUGAUUCGUCACACUAUCAUUAACUGAAUCCAUAGGUUAAUGAGGCGAACCGGGGGAACUGAAACAUCUAAGUACCCCGAGGAAAAGAAAUCAACCGAGAUUCCCCCAGUAGCGGCGAGCGAACGGGGAGCAGCCCAGAGCCUGAAUCAGUGUGUGUGUUAGUGGAAGCGUCUGGAAAGGCGCGCGAUACAGGGUGACAGCCCCGUACACAAAAAUGCACAUGCUGUGAGCUCGAUGAGUAGGGCGGGACACGUGGUAUC
This 393-nucleotide ribosomal RNA is filed under the name Acinetobacter baumannii. RNAcentral describes it as "partial 23S ribosomal RNA". It matches the Rfam family "Bacterial large subunit ribosomal RNA", at positions 1 to 433 of the family's 2925-position model. RNAcentral also lists the same sequence under 1 other name. Lineage: Bacteria; Pseudomonadati; Pseudomonadota; Gammaproteobacteria; Moraxellales; Moraxellaceae. The record is from RNAcentral.